CUACGAAGGGGGCUAGCGUUGUUCGGAAUUACUGGGCGUAAAGCGCGCGUAGGCGGAUUGGUCAGUUAGGGGUGAAAUCCCAGGGCUUAACCCUGGAACUGCCUCUAAUACUGCCAGUCUUGAGUUCGGGAGAGGUGAGUGGAAUUCCUAGUGUAGAGGUGAAAUUCGUAGAUAUUAGGAAGAACACUAGUGGCGAAGGCGGCUCACUGGCCCGAUACUGACGCUGAGGCGCGAAAGCGUGGGGAGCAAACAGGAUUAGAAACCCGAGUAGUCC
RNAcentral lists this ribosomal RNA (274 nucleotides) under uncultured bacterium. RNAcentral's name for it is "partial 16S ribosomal RNA". It matches the Rfam family "Bacterial small subunit ribosomal RNA", at positions 523 to 796 of the family's 1533-position model. The record is from RNAcentral.